This 456-nucleotide unclassified non-coding RNA is filed under the name Hevea brasiliensis (rubber tree). The record is from RNAcentral. Lineage: Eukaryota; Viridiplantae; Streptophyta; Magnoliopsida; Malpighiales; Euphorbiaceae.
AACUAUACUCAUCAAAAUUGAAUCGUUCUAUAAGUACCCAUAGACAACAAAGUUUAUUGCAAUUCAGAGCACUCACUAGGACAGUGUCACAGUGUCAAGCUAAAAUACAUGAGAAACGUUGAGGACCAAUACCAAACUUCUCUUCGCUAUCACAAUGAAUUAUUUGGUAGUGUCUUCAGCAUCUUCCUGUCCAUAGCGACGCUUAAACUUGGCAACCUGUCCUAAACUUUCAGCCAUCUGCCGUCUGGCCCUGAAGUGGUAGACUUUACCAACAUGAUGAAUUUUUGUCAUCAUAAUGUGCAUCAACCUGCCACUCUGGGUCACAUAAGAUAUCCACUGCAUCUGAGGGUGAAUUCCUUUCUUCAUUUUGCUAGAAUCUGCUAGAGACUGGAGAUAGAGAGAACGGGAAAUGGACAAAAGGGGCGACAGUUGCCGGCUAGUGAGAGCGAGAGGGAG